UGGGGAAUAUUGCACAAUGGGCGCAAGCCUGAUGCAGCCAUGCCGCGUGUAUGAAGAAGGCCUUCGGGUUGUAAAGUACUUUCAGCGGGGAGGAAGGGAGUAAAGUUAAUACCUUUGCUCAUUGACGUUACCCGCAGAAGAAGCACCGGCUAACUCCGUGCCAGCAGCCGCGGUAAUACGGAGGGUGCAAGCGUUAAUCGGAAUUACUGGGCGUAAAGCGCACGCAGGCGGUCUGUCAAGUCGGAUGUGAAAUCCCCGGGCUCAACCUGGGAACUGCAUUCGAAACUGGCAGGCUAGAGUCCUGUAGAGGGGGGUAGAAUUCCAGGUGUAGCGGUGAAAUGCGUAGAGAUCUGGAGGAAUACCGGUGGCGAAGGCGGCCCCCUGGACAAAGACUGACGCUCAGGUGCGAAAGCGUGGGGAGCAAACAGG
Molecule: ribosomal RNA, 429 nt
Filed under: Chloroflexota bacterium
Lineage: Bacteria; Bacillati; Chloroflexota
Description: Chloroflexi bacterium partial 16S ribosomal RNA
Rfam family: Bacterial small subunit ribosomal RNA
Source: RNAcentral